UAUAUUCCCCAUUAGGGGGGAUGAGAAUCCCCGACCGGGGUUCGACAAUGGGCGCAGCCCGUUGGACGGACCGCGAACGCAGUGAACGGGCUGCCCGCAGGGCGAGCGAAGCGAGUCAAUCCCCCCCUCACCGCCA
This 136-nucleotide small RNA is filed under the name Citrobacter amalonaticus. RNAcentral describes it as "RtT sRNA". It matches the Rfam family "RtT RNA". Rfam says of the family: This family represents a bacterial cis-regulatory element known as RtT RNA. The exact function of RtT is unknown although it is thought that it may be involved in changing the cellular response in relation to amino acid starvation. The record is from RNAcentral. Lineage: Bacteria; Pseudomonadati; Pseudomonadota; Gammaproteobacteria; Enterobacterales; Enterobacteriaceae.